AUUGAACGCUGGCGGCAUGCCUUACACAUGCAAGUCGAACGGCAGCACGGGAGCAAUCCUGGUGGCGAGUGGCGAACGGGUGAGUAAUAUAUCGGAACGUGCCCGGUCGUGGGGAUAACGUAGCGAAAGCUACGCUAAUACCGCAUACGAUCUACGGGUGAAAGCGGGGGAUCGCAAGACCUCGCGCGAUUGGAGCGGCCGAUAUCAGAUUAGGUAGUUGGUGAGGUAAAGGCUCACCAAGCCGACGAUCUGUAGCUGGUCUGAGAGGACGACCAGCCACACUGGGACUGAGACACGGCCCAGACUCCUACGGGAGGCAGCAGUGGGGAAUUUUGGACAAUGGGCGCAAGCCUGAUCCAGCAAUGCCGCGUGCAGGAUGAAGGCC
RNAcentral lists this ribosomal RNA (385 nucleotides) under uncultured bacterium. RNAcentral's name for it is "bacterial SSU rRNA". It matches the Rfam family "Bacterial small subunit ribosomal RNA", at positions 29 to 416 of the family's 1533-position model. The record is from RNAcentral.